RNAcentral lists this long non-coding RNA (984 nucleotides) under Setaria viridis. RNAcentral describes it as "long non-coding RNA (SVIR_LNC010116)". Lineage: Eukaryota; Viridiplantae; Streptophyta; Magnoliopsida; Poales; Poaceae. The record is from RNAcentral.
GUUGUAGGAAAGUUUCCGAUUCCAUACAAGUUGCUGUUCUGCCAAAAUUUUAUUGUAGAGGUUUUUAUUUCACUUGAUGGUUCUUAAUAAAGACAUUCUCUAUCUGCAGUGACAUGGAAUGUGACUUGCACAUAUUCCCAAUUUCUUGCUCAAAAGACUCCAUCCUGCUGUGUCUCUCUUUCAUCAUUUUACAAUGACACAAUUGUGAACUGCCCAACAUGCUCUUGUGGCUGCCAAAAUCCAAAUGGGUCAAACUGUGUGAAGUGAGUUUACCUACUUUUUACUCUUAAUACACUUCAUACUAAGGUUCUAUUUUGUCUUUAUAAAUGUCUAAUGAGUAUGGUUUCAUUUUCACAGUGAGGAUUCACCUAAUCUACAAUCUGCAAUUGAUGGCCCUGGAAAAUGGACUGGUCAGCCUCUUGUACAAUGCACUUCCCACAUGUGCCCGAUAAGAAUCCAUUGGCAUGUGAAGCUCAACUACAAGGAAUACUGGAGAGUGAAAAUCACUAUCACCAACUUCAACUUCCGCAUGAAUUACACGCAGUGGAACUUAGUCGCUCAGCAUCCAAACUUUGAUAAUAUCACUCAGCUGUUCAGCUUCAACUACAAACCACUUACCCCAUAUGGCAGUGGCAUAAGUAAGAAACUUGUCUUCUUUUCAAAAAAAGAAAUCAAAAUAAUCUCCCUCCCUCCCCUGAUGUUGUUUGCUUGUCCCAUUUUCAGAUGAUACGGCUAUGUUCUGGGGUGUAAAAUUCUACAAUGAUUUGCUGAUGCAAGCUGGUAAACUUGGGAAUGUGCAAUCAGAACUACUUCUCCGCAAGGACUCCCAGACUUUCACCUUCGAAAAGGGAUGGGCCUUCCCACGCCGAGUGUACUUCAAUGGUGACAACUGUGUCAUGCCAUCUCCUGAAAACUAUCCAUGGUUGCCCAACGCAAGCCCUCUAACAAAACAACCGCUGACCCUCCCACUUUUAGUAUUCUGGG